CUCAAUAUGAUGAGAACUGACAAAUCUGACUUUGGUUAGAUUUGACCUAUUUUUGGAAAAAUCUAAAUAUACCAAAACUGCAAAAAGGAUGUUUGCAUUAAGCGAGGCAUAUGUCUGAUUGAGGG
RNAcentral lists this small nucleolar RNA (125 nucleotides) under Musca domestica (house fly). Its description in RNAcentral is "Small nucleolar RNA Me28S-Am2589". It matches the Rfam family "Small nucleolar RNA Me28S-Am2589". Rfam says of the family: Me28S-Am2589 is a member of the C/D class of snoRNA which contain the C (UGAUGA) and D (CUGA) box motifs. The record is from Rfam by way of RNAcentral. Lineage: Eukaryota; Metazoa; Arthropoda; Insecta; Diptera; Muscidae.